ACGCUUCUGAUGUAUAUAUAUACUCAAAUUUAAUAUCAGAAAAAAAACAAUAAGUUAAUUCUCAUAAUUCUGCUAUUUUUUGUUUUCUCUAUAUAUCAUCAGUUUAUCAUUACUAAGGUGGUCUGCGAUGGAACUUAUCAAGAGUUGAUGGUCAAUAACUUCAUUAUUUGUUCUUCUGAUUUGGCAGAUUGAUUACAUAUGGGGCAAA
This 208-nucleotide unclassified non-coding RNA is filed under the name Hevea brasiliensis (rubber tree). The record is from RNAcentral. Lineage: Eukaryota; Viridiplantae; Streptophyta; Magnoliopsida; Malpighiales; Euphorbiaceae.